RNAcentral lists this transfer RNA (88 nucleotides) under Candidatus Methanoperedentaceae archaeon HGW-Methanoperedenaceae-1. RNAcentral's name for it is "Candidatus Methanoperedenaceae archaeon HGW-Methanoperedenaceae-1 tRNA-Ser". It matches the Rfam family "tRNA". From Rfam's summary of the family: Transfer RNA (tRNA) molecules are approximately 80 nucleotides in length. Their secondary structure includes four short double-helical elements and three loops (D, anti-codon, and T loops). RNAcentral also lists the same sequence under 1 other name. The record is from RNAcentral. Lineage: Archaea; Methanobacteriati; Methanobacteriota; Methanomicrobia; Methanosarcinales; Candidatus Methanoperedentaceae.
GCCGAGGUAGCCAAGCGGCCUACGGCGCUGGUCUUGAAAACCAGUGGGGCUUCGCCCCACGGGAGUUCAAAUCUCCCCCUCGGCGCCA